Long non-coding RNA from Piliocolobus tephrosceles (Ugandan red Colobus), 2512 nucleotides. The record is from Ensembl. NCBI's taxonomy places the organism in Eukaryota, Metazoa, Chordata, Mammalia, Primates, Cercopithecidae.
AUAAAGUUAGUGACAGUGAUAAAGUUAAAGAUAGUGAUAAAGUUAGCGACAGUGAAGAGUAUUGUGAUGUUAGUAAGUCCAAAGGUAUAAUGACUGAGAGUAGUCUGAAUGAAAAAAGUGUCACAGGAGAAGAUAAAAAAGAAGUACAUCCACCAAUAAAUACAAAAGACUAUAACAAAAAAAGUAUUGAUAAUGUCUAUAAAGAUAAGGAUAAAAAUUAUACAGACAUAAAAAGGGAGAUGAAAAAAAAAACAAAAAGAGAGAUGAAAAGGGAGACAAAAAGGGAGACAAAAAGGGAGAUAAAAAAAAAAACAAAAAAGAAGACGAAAAAGGAAACGGAAAAAGAGACGGAAAAGGAGGAAAAUGGAAAAGGGAUGAGUAUAGUAAGUAACAAUGUAUCCAGUGAUAGUACACACACUCGCGCUUUGGUUACAACGAACAAACCAAAUAAUGUUGAUGAAGAAGUAACCGCACAAAAUAACUUAUUAAAAACUAAAUUAAAAAGUUUAAAAAAAAAAAUUGUAAAUUAUAAAAAUAUAGAAAAAAAAUAUAAUCAAAAUAAAAAAAAAUAUAAAAAUAAUUUAGUAACUAUUUGUGAAUAUGAAAAAAAAAUUGAUUACAUUAUAAAUGAUUUUAACAAAUUAAAAGAAAUUGUUACAAGUAAAGAUAAAAAACUUACAAAAUAUGAAGAAAUAACAAAAUAUAUAAAUGAACAAUUUAAUGUUAGUAAAAUACAAUUUGAAAAUAAAAUGAAUGAGUAUGUUGUAUUUUUAAAGAAAAAAGAUUCAGAGAUAUAUAUGUUGAAAGAGUUAAUUAAGGAAAAAGAAAAAAUAAUAUGUUUUAAUGAAAACAUAUUAAAACAGUAUAAAACGGAUAUAGAUGAUACAUUAAAGCAACAUGUAGAACGAGUGGAACAGAUAAAAAAAAAACUAAGUACACAACAGAAUACACUACUACAAAAAGAUACAAAAAUUAGUCAGUUAGAAGAAACUAUACAAAAUGAUAAUAAAAAAAUGACAAAAAUAGAAAACGAAAUAAAAACAUUACAAUACGAUCUUGAAUUAGAGAUAGAAAAAAAAAAAGAAUUAAAAAAAAAUUAUGAAAAAGAAAAAGAUAAAAAUCAAAAACUGAAUAUUAAAUUGGAAGAAAUAAAAAAAGAAAAAAGUGAUAUACAAUAUAAAGUUGAUAAUUUAUUAAAAAAUGAAAAAAUUAUUAUUAAUGAUAAAGAUAUGUUACUUGAAUGUAAACAAACACUUAGUACAGAAAAUGAAAAUAUGAAACAUAAAAUUACUAUUUUACAAAAUGAAAAAGAUGAAAUAAGAAAAAAAUUUGAGUUUAUAAAUUCAGAAGAAAAUAAAAUAAAAGAAAAACUACAGUUGAUUGAAAAAGAAAAUGAAGAAUACAUAAAUGAAAUAAAUAAAUUACACAAUGAAGUAACUAGCUUAGAAAAACAAAAUAACGAACUAAAUGAAAAAAACAAAACAAAUGAAACAAAAUAUAAAAGCGAACUAGAAAAAAAUACACACAUAGAAAAAAUGUUAGAAGACACAAAAAAGGAAUACUUAUUACAGUUGAAUCAAAAAGAGUCAAUACAAAAUGAACUAACCGAGUUACAAAAUAGAAAAGAACAAGAAAUGAUAGAAAAUAAGGAAAAAAUAAAAAGUGUAAACGAAGAUAUAAAAGAGUUAGAAGAAAAACUAACUGAAAUAAAUAAAUUAUAUACAAAGGAAAAAGAAAUGAUUGAAAAUUUAACGAAAGAAAAAAAACAAUUUAUUAAAGAAUGUAAAAAAUUGAAAAAUAAAAAUAAAAAAAUUGAUUCUCAGCUAAAAGAAGAAAAAAAUAAUUAUAAAAAAAAUAUAAAUAAUAUUAUAAAAGAAAAAGAACAAGUAUUAGAAAAAGAAAAAUUAAAUUUUGAAAAAAAAAUACAAUCGUUAGAAGUAGCAUUUCAAGAAUCUUAUAGUAAAACACAUGAAGAAAAAAAUAACUUAAAACUUGAGUUAAGCGAAUUAAAAAAAAUCAAUGAAGAUAUAAAAAAAAAUUCAAAAAAUCUUUUAAAUGUUAAUCAAAUGUUAGUUAACGAAAUUCAAUUAUAUAACACACAAAAAAAAAAUUUCAUUAAAGGAUUAAAAGAUAUUAAACAAGCAUACUUAAAAAUAAAAGAUGAAAAUGAACAGCUCAAAAAAAAUGCAUUCGAAUUUAUGAAAAAAGAGGUACAAGAAAAUUAUAUUCCUAUUAUUGUUCACAACAAUUUAUUAGAUGAAAAAAAUACCUGGAUCACUGAAAAAACAAUACUUACCACAAAAUCGAAAGAAAAUGAAUUAGUCAUCGCAAAUUUGAACAAAGAAAAAAUACAACUACAGGAACAAAUUAGUCAAAUCAAUAAACAAAAUGAAGAGUUAAAUACGAAUAUAAAGGUGAAUAGUAAAAUUACGGAGGAAUUUACGCUUAACGUGGAGGUAAGUCCCUUUCAAAAAAAAAAAAAAUAAAAUAAAAUAUAUAAAAAUAAAUAAAA